Molecule: small nucleolar RNA, 106 nt
Filed under: Morus notabilis
Lineage: Eukaryota; Viridiplantae; Streptophyta; Magnoliopsida; Rosales; Moraceae
Description: Plant small nucleolar RNA R71
Rfam family: Plant small nucleolar RNA R71
About the family: R71 is a member of the C/D box family of snoRNAs containing the C (UGAUGA) and D (CUGA) box motifs. Multiple nearly identical copies of this snoRNA have been identified in Arabidopsis, and it is thought to function as a 2'-O-ribose methylation guide for 18S ribosomal RNA.
Source: Rfam by way of RNAcentral
ACCUCAUGAUAAGGACAUCUCAUGUACAACUCUUAAAAUAUCUCCCAAGCUUCUGAUAAAGUCUCCCUAUCAUGUUGCACUAAAUUAGUAAUCUCAUUUCUCAUAU